AUUGAACGCUGGCGGCAUGCCUUACACAUACAAGUCGAACGGCAGCACGGGAGCAAUCCUGGUGGCGAGUGGCGAACGGGUGAGUAAAGUAUCGGAACGUGCCCAGUCGUGGGGGAUAACGUAGCGAAAGUUACGCGAAUACCGCAUACGAUCUAUGGAGGAAAGGGGGGGAUCGCAAGACCUCGCGCGCAGGGAGCGGCCGAUAUCAGAUUAGGUAGUUGGUGGGGUAAAGGCUCACCAAGCCGACGAUCUGUAGCUGGUCUGAGAGGACGACCAGCCACACUGGGACUGAGACACGGCCCAGACUCCUACGGGAGGCAGCAGUGGGGAAUUUUGGACAAUGGGCGAAAGCCUGAUCCAGCCAUGCCGCAUGCAGGAUGAAGGCCUUCGGGUUGUAAACUGCUUUUGUACGGAACGAAAAGGUUUGGCCUAAUAAGCUGAGCUCAUGACGGUACCGUAAGAAUAAGCACCGGCUAACUACGUGCCAGCCGCCGCCGUAA
Molecule: ribosomal RNA, 500 nt
Filed under: uncultured bacterium
Lineage: Bacteria
Description: partial 16S ribosomal RNA
Rfam family: Bacterial small subunit ribosomal RNA
Source: RNAcentral